ACGCUGGCGGCGUGCCUAAUACAUGCAAGUCGAGCGAAGUUUUUCUGGUGCUUGCACUAGAAAAACUUAGCGGCGAACGGGUGAGUAACACGUAAAGAACCUGCCUCAUAGACUGGGACAACUAUUGGAAACGAUAGCUAAUACCGGAUAACAGCAUUAACUGCAUGGUUGAUGUUUAAAAGUUGGUUUUGCUAACACUAUGAGAUGGCUUUGCGGUGCAUUAGCUAGUUGGUGGGGUAAAGGCCUACCAAGGCGACGAUGCAUAGCCGACCUGAGAGGGUGAUCGGCCACACUGGGACUGAGACACGGCCCAGACUCCUACGGGAGGCAGCAGUAGGGAAUCUUCCGCAAUGGGCGAAAGCCUGACGGAGCAACGCCGCGUGAGUGAAGAAGGAUUUCGGUUCGUAAAGCUCUGUUGUUAGGGAAGAAUGAUUGUGUAGUAACUAUACACAGUAGAGACGGUACCUAACCAGAAAGCCACGGCUAACUACGUGCCAGCAGCCGCGGUAAGACGUAGGUGGCAAGCGUUGUCCGGAAUUAUUGGGCGUAAAGCGCGCGCAGGUGGUUUAAUAAGUCUGAUGUGAAAGCCCACGGCUCAACCGUGGAGGGUCAUUGGAAACUGUUAAACUUGAGUGCAGGAGAGAAAAGUGGAAUUCCUAGUGUAGCGGUGAAAUGCGUAGAGAUUAGGAGGAACACCAGUGGCGAAGGCGGCUUUUUGGCCUGUAACUGACACUGAGGCGCGAAAGCGUGGGGAGCAAACAGGAUUAGAUACCCUGGUAGUCCACGCCGUAAACGAUGAGUGCUAAGUGUUGGUCUCAUAAGAGAUCAGUGCUGCAGCUAACGCAUUAAGCACUCCGCCUGGGGAGUACGACCGCAAGGUUGAAACUCAAAGGAAUUGACG
This 901-nucleotide ribosomal RNA is filed under the name uncultured bacterium. RNAcentral's name for it is "bacterial SSU rRNA". It matches the Rfam family "Bacterial small subunit ribosomal RNA", at positions 33 to 915 of the family's 1533-position model. The record is from RNAcentral.